This is a non-coding RNA of Leptidea sinapis, 72 nucleotides long. The record is from the annotation of a RefSeq genome assembly. NCBI's taxonomy places the organism in Eukaryota, Metazoa, Arthropoda, Insecta, Lepidoptera, Pieridae.
GGACGGUUAGCUUAGUUGUUAGAGCGCUGGGAUGUUACCCGAGUGACGCGGGUUCGAGUCCCGCAUCGUCCA